CAGAAAUGAUGAGAUAUUUGACAUCCAAUCGCUUGGAUCCUCUCUCGACUCAUUCCCAAGCCAGUAUCAUCGGUUGGAAUCUUAGCCCGGCUCGUUAUUCCCAAGAGUCGCGCUGUAAAGGCGGCCGGACAGAAAACCUUCCUCGUCCUUCCCGGACAAGAACAGAAGCGAAUUGCCGGACGAGGAAGAACAUUCACACUCUCAAUGAUACUGCUUGGGCAUUCGAGGGUCCUCUGAGAAAUGAGGUCUUCUUUAGUAAUCUGAUCGAU
This is a small nucleolar RNA of Phlebotomus argentipes, 269 nucleotides long. The record is from RefSeq and is a predicted model, not a curated record. Lineage: Eukaryota; Metazoa; Arthropoda; Insecta; Diptera; Psychodidae.